RNAcentral lists this ribosomal RNA (253 nucleotides) under uncultured bacterium. RNAcentral describes it as "partial 16S ribosomal RNA". It matches the Rfam family "Bacterial small subunit ribosomal RNA", at positions 524 to 776 of the family's 1533-position model. The record is from RNAcentral.
AACGUAGGAGACAAACGUUAUCCGGAGUUACUGGGCGUAAAGGGCGUGUAGGUGGUUUCGUAAGUCUGGCGUGAAAUUUCUCGGCUUAACCGAGGCAGGUCGUCGGAUACUGCGGAACUAGAGGACGGUAGAGGCAGGUGGAAUUCCGGGUGUAGCGGUGGAAUGCGUAGAGAUCCGGAAGAACACCGGUGGCGAAGGCGGCCUGCUGGGCUAUGGCUGACACUGAGGCGCGACAGCGUGGGGAGCAAACAGG